Molecule: ribosomal RNA, 420 nt
Filed under: uncultured bacterium
Lineage: Bacteria
Description: bacterial SSU rRNA
Rfam family: Bacterial small subunit ribosomal RNA
Source: RNAcentral
CAUGGUGGACGGGUGAGUAAUACAUAAGAAUCAGCUUUUAGAUAAGGCAUAAAAGAGUAAUAUCUUGGUAAUUCCUUAUAUGCGCAGUAGUGCUUAAAAAGGGGAGUCCCGUCUAAAAACGAGCUUAUGCCUGAUUAGCUAGUUGGCGAGUUAAAAGCUCACCAAGGCGAAGAUCAGUAGCUGGCCUGAGAGGGCGGCCAGCCACAUUGGGACUGAGACACGGCCCAAACUCCUACGGGAGGCAGCAGUGGGGAAUCUUCUGCAAUGGGCGCAAGCCUGACAGAGCGGCGUCGUGUGAAGGAAGAAGGCCUGAAAGAGGUUGUAAACUUCUUUUACUGAGUAAUGAAUAAUGACAACGCAGUAAAAAAGUAUCGGCUAACUCCGUGCCAGCAGCCGCGGUAAUACGGGGGAUGCAAGCGU